This 758-nucleotide long non-coding RNA is filed under the name Scleropages formosus (Asian bonytongue). RNAcentral describes it as "lncRNA (ENSSFOG00015025369.1)". The record is from RNAcentral. Lineage: Eukaryota; Metazoa; Chordata; Actinopteri; Osteoglossiformes; Osteoglossidae.
GACUCGACCCCAGGUGCUUUAUUUACCCCAGGGGCCCCCCGGACCACCAGGACCCCGGGCCCCCCCGGACCGCCACCGUCCACGGACGGGUUCGCCUUUGACGGCGCCACCCAGGUGCAUCCAGGUGAUCAUUACGAAGGCAUUUACGGGAUCAAGAGCAAGCAGAAAGGAGAAAGGGGGGAGCCGGGAUCCAAGGGCGAGAAGGGAGAGCCAGGUGGAGGAUUCUACGGCCCCCAAUACGCUGGGGUCCAAGGCGUGCCGGGACCUCCGGGGCCACCAGGGCCGAGGGGAGAAUCCAUCAGGGGACCUCCUGGUCCACAGGGGCCACCAGGGACCCCUGGGGUUGGUUACGCUGGACAACCAGGAUAUCCUGGGCCUCCAGGGCCCCCUGGGCCUCCAGGCCCCGCAUCGUUGCCUGGAGCUUACAGGCCCACACACAGUGAGUCUGGCAGCGUUCCUCCCUUUAAGGCUGUGUUUGUGACGCCAGUCUGGACGCUCCUUACAAGCAAGAGAUAUGCAUGUGUAAUUGUGUUUGCACGUGAAAGGCAGAACUCUUCUAGACGUGUUUCAGAACUGCUAACGCCCCCCUUCAUUUGCCAGGCAUCAGUCUCCCCGGGCCCCCGGGGCCACCCGGCCCCCCCGGAGCUCCGGGGCCCAUUUCUGGGGUGAGUUUUGACCGACUACAGCGGUGCUGCGCGUGCAGCGUGCAAGCGCGUUCCCCAGACUCACAUCCAUCCGCUGGUCCUCACAGGUGCUGG